ACGGGUGAGUAAUGUCUGGGGAUCUGCCCGAUGGAGGGGGAUAACUACUGGAAACGGUAGCUAAUACCGCAUAACGUCGCAAGACCAAAGUGGGGGACCUUCGGGCCUCACACCAUCGGAUGAACCCAGAUGGGAUUAGCUAGUAGGUGGGGUAACGGCUCACCUAGGCGACGAUCCCUAGCUGGUCUGAGAGGAUGACCAGCCACACUGGAACUGAGACACGGUCCAGACUCCUACGGGAGGCAGCAGUGGGGAAUAUUGCACAAUGGGCGCAAGCCUGAUGCAGCCAUGCCGCGUGUAUGAAGAAGGCCUUCGGGUUGUAAAGUACUUUCAGCGGGGAGGAAGGGAUGAGGGUUAAUAACCUUCGUCAUUGACGUUACCCGCAGAAGAAGCACCGGCUAACUCCGUGCCAGCAGCCGCGGUAAUACGGAGGGUGCAAGCGUUAAUCGGAAUUACUGGGCGUAAAGCGCACGCAGGCGGUUUGUUAAGUCAGAUGUGAAAUCCCCGGGCUCAACCUGGGAACUGCAUUUGAAACUGGCAAGCUUGAGUCUCGUAGAGGGGGGUAGAAUUCCAGGUGUA
RNAcentral lists this ribosomal RNA (579 nucleotides) under uncultured Enterobacteriaceae bacterium. Its description in RNAcentral is "bacterial SSU rRNA". It matches the Rfam family "Bacterial small subunit ribosomal RNA", at positions 102 to 677 of the family's 1533-position model. The record is from RNAcentral. Lineage: Bacteria; Pseudomonadati; Pseudomonadota; Gammaproteobacteria; Enterobacterales; Enterobacteriaceae.